This 254-nucleotide ribosomal RNA is filed under the name uncultured bacterium. RNAcentral's name for it is "partial 16S ribosomal RNA". It matches the Rfam family "Bacterial small subunit ribosomal RNA", at positions 524 to 776 of the family's 1533-position model. The record is from RNAcentral.
UACGGAGGGAGCUAGCGUUAUUCGGAAUUACUGGGCGUAAAGCGCACGUAGGCGGCUUUGUAAGUAAGAGGUGAAAGCCCAGAGCUCAACUCUGGAAUUGCCUUUUAGACUGCAUCGCUUGAAUCAUGGAGAGGUUCAGUGGAAUUCCGAGUGUAGAGGUGAAAUUCGUAGAUAUUCGGAAGAACACCAGUGGCGAAGGCGGCUGACUGGACAUGUAUUGACGCUGAGGCGCGAAAGCUAGGGGAGCAAACGGG